This is a long non-coding RNA of Carassius gibelio (silver crucian carp), 2116 nucleotides long. RefSeq lists it as uncharacterized. The transcript has 4 exons. Lineage: Eukaryota; Metazoa; Chordata; Actinopteri; Cypriniformes; Cyprinidae. The record is from RefSeq and is a predicted model, not a curated record.
UAAUGGUGUUUGAUUUGUAUUUGUCAUUAUAACAUGGGGAAUGUAAAUGAGUAAAAUCAUUGUAGCCAUAUAUGCUGGCACAUUGCUAUUAUAAUCGGAAAUGGAUGACACACUGUAAUAAUGCUCUCUCAACAUUUACUAAACAGGAUGGACAAAGUCUCAACAGUUAAUUUUUCAUCAUAUAAUUUGCAUGUAAUCAUUUAGCAGUUGUUUUUAUCCAAAGCGACUUAUAAAAGAGGACAAUUAGAAGCAAUUAAACCAACAAACGGGUAACAAAAUACCUGUGAUAAGCCCCAACUAGUAAACAUACACUGUAAAAAAAAACUGUAAUUUUACGGAAUUUUACUGUUUUAUUUUACAGUUUUUUCCACGUAAUUUUGAAAUACAGUUUAAAAUUGUAAAAUUACAGAAAGAGACUGUAAAUUUACAUAUCUUAUGUAAAAUCACAUGAAAAACAUGUCAAUGUGCAUAACGUCCCAAAAAUAUUUUUGAAGAUUUAUUUCACAUAAUGCGCUAUAUUUAUAUGUAGUAUGUGCAGUAUGUGUGUGUGUGUGUACGUGUGUGUGUGGCAUUAAUAAUAUAAUGCCAUAUUUUUUAAUAGAUUAAAAAUAUAAAUAACAACUGUACAAAAGUUAACGUUCAUUAUUAUUAUUAUUAUUAUUAUUACUAUUGAUAUAAUAUGUUGUAUAUGUAGCCUACAUUGCGUGUUUGCAUAAAAGAGCAGGUUAAUCCUUUUUUGAACAGGUUUGUUGAAAAAUCCUUCUCGAAAGAAUCGUAUUUCCAAAGUACUGUCAACUGACCACAUCUUCUUCCGCUUGUCAAAAUAGUUCUGCUCAGUUUGGUGUUUUAUUACGGAUUUAUUCUCAUAGUACCGUUUCAUAAUUUGAUAUAAUAAUAUAAUAAUAUGCUGAUAUUAAAAUUAAAAAAAAUAAAAAAUGUAAUAUUCGAACUGAAGGAAUUCCCGCCCUAGCGCAAGGACACAUUCUCCUCCAAGCACGCAGUGGAGCUGCUGCGCGCGCAGAAGGAAUAACUCGACCUUCAGUUUCACGGUCAAUCUUCAAUCUGAGGCGAAAAUAAGCAGAUAAGUUCAGUGAGUGCUAAAACCAUGGUCAACAUGAAAGGUCAUAGUUAACGACCACAUCACCAUCUUCUGCAACGCUCUGAUGUUUGCUUCAUACAACUGCUUGAACAUUUCAUACCCAGGAAACCAAGGAGAAACGCAAGAGAUUGUGCAAAGAUUCCUUUUUAAGAUGAACCCCGAGAAGGGAUGGAAAGUGGAGAAGACCACAUCGAGAAAGAAAUCAGCAGUCAGUCCAAAGGUUCUUUCACUGAUUAACAAGAUUGCGGACUUUGAAAGGAUGGAGUAAAACUUGGAGUGUCAGAUCUUCCUACAUUGCCUAGCAGAAAUUCUUGACAGUGUCAAAGACUUAAAAUACUUGCUGAUUAUUUGCUUUCAUGGUUGAUUUUUUUUUUUUUAAUGCAUCAUCUGUUGUCAAGAUGAAUUAAUCUGUUCACAGGUGGUUCAGUUUUAAGGACAAAUUAAUUCUUAUUUUUUAUUUGUUUACCAAUUUGCUAUAUUGUUGCAGUUUUGAACAAUUCUUUUGUGUGUUGUUGCAGUUAUUAAAUAUAUAUAUAUAUAUAUAUAUAUAUAUAUGAAGAGUUCAGAUGCAAAAGCCUCUAAAUGCCAUCUGAAAUUUUCAUCUAAAAUUUGGAUUUUUAUCAGGCUCCUAUAUUUAUUUUCAGUUAUUUCACUUUAAUAGUCUGGCAAUGGACCUGCACAUUGCCAUUAAAGUAAAAUGACUCAACUUAAGCAUAGGAGCUUGAUAAAAAUCCCAAUUUUAGAUGAAAAUUUCAGAUGGCAUUUAGAGGCUUUUGCAUCUGAACUCUUCAUAUAUACUGUUGCAGUUAUGAAAAAAAACUGAAUUGUAUGUGGUUGCAGUUGUGAUCUAAUUUAAACUUUUGGGCUUAUUUUUUUAUUGGAAUAUUGUUGCAGUUUAGCUAUAAUCUCUAUACUGGUAUAUUGUUGCAGUUUUGUACAAAGAAUAUUAGUAAAUUGCAGUCCUGAACAAACUAUUUGUAUAUUCUUGCAGAUUGGUCAAUAAAUUAUUAAAACACA